GACGAACGCUGGCGGCGUGCUUAACACAUGCCAGUCGAACGGAAAGGCCCUGCUUUUGUGGGGUGCUCGAGUGGCGAACGGGUGAGUAACACGUGAGUAACCUGCCCUUGACUUUGGGACAACUUCAGGAAACUGGGGCUAAUACCGGAUAGGAGCUCCUGCUGCAUGGUGGGGGUUGGAAAGUUUCGGCGGUUGGGGAUGGACUCGCGGCUUAUCAGCUUGUUGGUGGGGUAGUGGCUUACCAAGGCUUUGACGGGUAGCCGGCCUGAGAGGGUGACCGGCCACAUUGGGACUGAGAUACGGCCCAGACUCCUACGGGAGGCAGCAGUGGGGAAUAUUGCACAAUGGGCGGAAGCCUGAUGCAGCAACGCCGCGUGCGGGAUGACGGCCUUCGGGUUGUAAACCGCUUUCGCCUGCGACGAAGCGUGAGUGACGGUAAUGGGUAAAGAAGCACCGGCUAACUACAUG
RNAcentral lists this ribosomal RNA (468 nucleotides) under uncultured bacterium. Its description in RNAcentral is "partial 16S ribosomal RNA". It matches the Rfam family "Bacterial small subunit ribosomal RNA", at positions 28 to 507 of the family's 1533-position model. The record is from RNAcentral.